RNAcentral lists this ribosomal RNA (497 nucleotides) under uncultured bacterium. RNAcentral's name for it is "bacterial SSU rRNA". It matches the Rfam family "Bacterial small subunit ribosomal RNA", at positions 30 to 504 of the family's 1533-position model. The record is from RNAcentral.
CGAACGCUGGCGGCGUGGAUUAGGCAUGCAAGUCGGACGAUCUCUUUCUUUUAGAGGGGGAUAGUGGCAAACGGGUGAGUAACGCGUGGGUAAUUUACCUUUGGGUUCGGGAUAACUUGCCGAAAGGCAAGCUAAUACCGGAUAAGACCACAGUUUCACAGAAACUGCGGUUAAAGGCGGGGAUCCUGAAAAUGGACCUGUCGCCCUUAGAUGAGCCCGCGUCCUAUCAGCUUGUUGGUAAGGUAAAGGCUUACCAAGGCGAUGACGGGUAGCUGGUCUGAGAGGAUGGUCAGUCACACUGGGACUGAGACACUGCCCAGACUCCUACGGGAGGCUGCAGUCGAGAAUCUUUUGCAAUGCCCGAAAGGGUGACAAUGCGACGCCGCGUGAGCGAUGAAGGCCUUCGGGUUGUAAAGCUCUGUCAGCAGGGAUGAAUGCGUAAAGAAUAAUAUCUUCUACGUUUGACGGUACCUGCAGAGGAAGCCUCGGCUAACUCC